This 524-nucleotide ribosomal RNA is filed under the name Kluyveromyces marxianus. RNAcentral describes it as "eukaryotic LSU rRNA". It matches the Rfam family "Eukaryotic large subunit ribosomal RNA", at positions 89 to 655 of the family's 3401-position model. The record is from RNAcentral. Lineage: Eukaryota; Fungi; Ascomycota; Saccharomycetes; Saccharomycetales; Saccharomycetaceae.
GCGAGUGAGCGGCAAAAGCUCAAAUUUGAAAUCUGGCGUCUUCGACGUCCGAGUUGUAAUUUGAAGAAGGCGACUUUGUAGCUGGUCCUUGUCUAUGUUCCUUGGAACAGGACGUCAUAGAGGGUGAGAAUCCCGUGUGGCGAGGAUCCCAGUUAUUUGUAAAGUGCUUUCGACGAGUCGAGUUGUUUGGGAAUGCAGCUCUAAGUGGGUGGUAAAUUCCAUCUAAAGCUAAAUAUUGGCGAGAGACCGAUAGCGAACAAGUACAGUGAUGGAAAGAUGAAAAGAACUUUGAAAAGAGAGUGAAAAAGUACGUGAAAUUGUUGAAAGGGAAGGGCAUUUGAUCAGACAUGGCGUUUGCUUCGGCUUUCGCUGGGCCAGCAUCAGUUUUAGCGGUUGGAUAAAUCCUCGGGAAUGUGGCUCUGCUUCGGUAGAGUGUUAUAGCCCGUGGGAAUACAGCCAGCUGGGACUGAGGAUUGCGACUUUUGUCAAGGAUGCUGGCGUAAUGGUUAAAUGCCGCCCGUCUA